Molecule: ribosomal RNA, 466 nt
Filed under: uncultured bacterium
Lineage: Bacteria
Description: partial 16S ribosomal RNA
Rfam family: Bacterial small subunit ribosomal RNA
Source: RNAcentral
GACGAACGCUGGCGGCGUGCUUAACACAUGCAAGUCGAACGGAAAGGCCCUGCUUUUGUGGGGUGCUCGAGUGGCGAACGGGUGAGUAACACGUGAGUAACCUGCCCUUGACUUUGGGAUAACUUCAGGAAACUGGGGCUAAUACCGGAUAGGAGCUCCUGCUGCAUGGUGGGGGUUGGAAAGUUUCGGCGGUUGGGGAUGGACUCGCGGCUUAUCAGCUUGUUGGUGGGGUAGUGGCUUACCAAGGCUUUGACGGGUAGCCGGCCUGAGAGGGUGACCGGCCACAUGGGGACUGAGAUACGGCCCAGACUCCUACGGGAGGCAGCAGUGGUGAAUAUUGCACAAUGGGCGGAAGCCUGAUGCAGCAACGCCGCGUGCGGGAUGACGGCCUUCGGGUUGUAAACCGCUUUCGCCUGUGACGAAGCGUGAGUGACGGUAAUGGGUAAAGAAGCACCGGCUAACUACG